CCUACGGGGGGCAGCAAUUAGGAAUCUUGCACAAUGGGGGCAACCCUGAUGCAGCGACGCCGCGUGCGGGAUGACGGCCUUCGGGUCGUAAACCGCUUUUUUCGGGGAAGAAGAAUGUGACGGUACCCGAAGAAUAAGCCCCGGCUAACUACGUGCCAGCAGCCGCGGUAAUACGUAGGGGGCGAGCGUUGUCCGAAGUUACUGGGCGUAAAGCGCGCGUAGGCGGUUUCUUAAGUCUGGUGUGAAAGGCUGAGGGCUCAACCCCAGCAGUGCACUGGAGACUGGGAGACUUGAGUGCGGGAGAGGAGAGCGGAAUUCCUGGUGUAGCGGUGAAAUGCGUAGAUAUCAGGAGGAACACCGGUGGCGAAGGCGGCUCUCUGGCCUGCAACUGACGCUGAGGUGCGAAAGCGUGGGGAGCGAACGGGAUUAGAUACCCUGGU
This 440-nucleotide ribosomal RNA is filed under the name uncultured bacterium. Its description in RNAcentral is "bacterial SSU rRNA". It matches the Rfam family "Bacterial small subunit ribosomal RNA", at positions 338 to 791 of the family's 1533-position model. The record is from RNAcentral.